CUUUACUGCAGCCUGGAAUUGCGUUCGGGCUUCGCUUGCGCAGGAUAGGUGGGAGGCACAGAAGUUCCCCUUGUGGGGGGAAUCGAGCCAACGGUGAGAUACCACUCUAGCGAGGCUAGAAUUCUAACCCUUGCCCGUCAGCCGGGAAGGAGACAGUUUCAGGGGGGUAGUUUGACUGGGGCGGUCGCCUCCUAAAAGGUAACGGAGGCGCACAAAGGUUCCCUCAGGCUGGUUGGAAAUCAGCCAGAGAGUGCAAAGGCAUAAGGGAGCUUGACUGCAAGACCUACAAGUCGAGCAGGGUGGAAACACGGUCUUAGUGAUCCGACGGUGCCGCAUGGAAGGGCCGUCGCUCAACGGAUAGAAGUUA
This 367-nucleotide ribosomal RNA is filed under the name uncultured organism. RNAcentral describes it as "bacterial LSU rRNA". It matches the Rfam family "Bacterial large subunit ribosomal RNA", at positions 2099 to 2465 of the family's 2925-position model. The record is from RNAcentral.